This is a non-coding RNA of Monodelphis domestica (gray short-tailed opossum), 930 nucleotides long. NCBI's taxonomy places the organism in Eukaryota, Metazoa, Chordata, Mammalia, Didelphimorphia, Didelphidae. The record is from RefSeq and is a predicted model, not a curated record.
ACCACAUCCUGCUGGCUCAUGAAUUAGGAGAGAAAGAUUUUUGGGCAAGUGGUGGACAAGUUCCUUCAGUUCCAAACAAAGCCUGCGACCCAGGCUGUACAGAUGGAGGUGUCUCCUACCUCACUGGAAGGCUUUGUGAUUGCAUCAGGGAUUAAGAAAAACCUAUACUGAGCUGAGAUGGCUGGAAAUAAUAUAAGAGUGAACAGCUACAGAACCAUAGUUUUUUUUUCUGGAGACUGGACAUACACAAGUCAUUCUUCAAACAAUAUUUCCCUAGGCAACUCUUCAAAAUUUUUAAUUUGCAAGGCAGAUUCCUCCUAACACAGUUGAAAUCACAGAUCCAUUUUUGACUCAUGAGGUCUCAGAGAUCUUUAUCUACAAAAUGUAGGGAAUGACCUAAAUCAGACCCAAGUGACAAGAGAAACAACUGCCAGGCAUGUUAAAAGCAAAACUGUCAGCACUUUUUAUUGGGUUGUGAGGACCCACAACAAAAUUCUCAAGUGUGAGUCAGAACCAAAUGAGAAUUGAAUUGGUGAAUGUUUAACAAAGUAAAUAAAAAUUCAUUACAACAUAGAUAAUAUUGGUCUGUGGUUUUCUGAGUCAAUAUGUGGUCUGUUGGGAUCCUGUUCUAUUUGAGUUUGACACUACUUCCCAAAAUGAUACACAGCUACUUUUCCCUUGUCUGGCCUCCUUCAAUACUUAGCUCAAAUCCCACCUUCUGCAACAGGCCUUUCCCAGUCUCUCCCCAUCCCUACUCCUCUUCUACAGCAUUCCCUGUGAGCUUACUUUCAAGUUACAAUGUAUAAUGUACCCAGUUCUUUUUGUCAUCUCCCCACAUUAAAAUGUGAGCUCCUUGAGAGCAAGGAUGAGAGCAAGUUUCCAAGUUGUAACUCAGCCUUCAACCAUUGUCAAUACCAGAAAUAAUUACUU